Molecule: long non-coding RNA, 1290 nt
Filed under: Zonotrichia albicollis (white-throated sparrow)
Lineage: Eukaryota; Metazoa; Chordata; Aves; Passeriformes; Passerellidae
Description: lncRNA (ENSZALG00000003200.1)
Source: RNAcentral
GUUUCCGCUUGGGGUUCCGCGCCUCCUCCCGCCGCCGGUCCAGGUCCAUGCGCUGGUGGGACACGGUGGGCAAAGGGUUAAUGGUGACAUCUGAGGUGGGAUGGAUCUGCUGAGGUGGGAUUGUGGUUUUGGAUGGAUCUGCUGAGGUGGGAUCUCAGAUAUCUGAGGUGGGAUGGAGUGAGGAAACAUCUGAGGUGGGAUGAGGAACAUCUGAAGUGGGAUCAGGGAUAUCUGAGGUGGGAUGGGGUGAGAAACAUCUGAGGUGGGAUGGAUCUACUGAGGUGGGACUGGGGUGAGGAAACACCUGAGGUGGGAUCUGGGAUAUCUAAGGUAGGAUGGGGUGAGGAACACCUGAGGUGGGAUGGAUCUGCUGAGGUGGGAUCAGGGAUAUCUGAGGUGGGAUGGGUGAGGAAACAUCUGAGGUGGGAUUGGGAACAUCUGAAGUGGGAUCGGGGUGAGGGCUGGGAUGAGGAACAUCUGAGGUGGGAUGGAUCUUCUGAGGUGGGAUCUGGGGUAUCUAAGGUAGGAUGGGGUGAGGAACAUCUGAGGUGGGACUGGGGAUAUCUGAGGUGGGUUUGGGACCAUCCAAGGUGGGAUCAGGGGUAUCUGAGGUGGGUUUGGGGAUAUCUGAGGUGGGAUGGGGAGCUCGUCCUCCUCCAUCAGCCGCGGCUUCCGCUUGGGGUUCCGCGCCUUCUCCUCCUCCUGCCCUUCCUCCCUCCUCCUCCUCCUCUCUGGCUUCUCUUCCUCUUCAUCUCUUCCUCCUCUUCUUCAUCUCCUGUUCCUGUUCCUCUGCUCCUCAUCCUCUCCCAUCUCCUCCUCCUCUUCCUCCUCUCCUUCCUCCUCCUCCUCCUCUUCCUCCUCCUCCUCUCCCCCUGCCCUUCCUCCCUCCUCCUCCUCCUCACCAUGAACAGGUCGAACUCCUCCUCGUGCCGGGCGAUCAUCUGGAUCUCUGCUUCCUCCCUCCUCCUCCUCCUCCUCCUGUCCUUCCUCCUCCUCCUCUUCCUCAGACCUUCCUCCCUCCCUCUCCUCUUCCUCCUCAUCUCCGGCUCUUCUUCCUCAGAUCUUCCUCCUCUCCCAUCUCCUCUUUCCCCAUCUCCUCCUCCUCCUCCUCCUCCCGCCCUUCCUCCCUCUCCUCCUCCUCCUCCUCACCUCCUGUUCCUCUUCCUCCUCAUCUCCUCCUGCUCUUCCUCAUCUCCUGCUCUUCUUUCUUGGGGGAUCUUCCUCCUCUCCCUCCUCUUCCUCAUCUCCUCUUCCUGUUCCUCCUCCUCCUCCCUCUGCCCUUCCUCCCCC